CUACGGGUGGCUCCAGUGGGGAAUAUUGGACAAUGGGGGAAACCCUGAUCCAGCAAUGCCGCGUGUGUGAAGAAGGCCUGCGGGUUGUAAAGCACUUUCGGUUGGGAGGACUGCUUCUAGCACUAAUAUUGUUGGAAGUUGACGUUACCUUCAGAAGAAGCACCGGCUAACUCCGUGCCAGCAGCCGCGGUAAUACGGAGGGUGCGAAGCGUUAACCGGAAUUACUGGGCGUAAAGCGCGCGUAGGCGGCUAGAUCAGUCGGGGGUGAAAGCCCCGGGCUUAACCUGGGAACUGCAUCCGAUACUGUCUAGCUUGAGUACAGGAGAGGAGAGUGGAAUUCCACAUGUAGCGGUGAAAUGCGUAGAUAUGUGGAGGAACACCAAUGGCGAAGGCAGCUCUCUGGCCUGAUACUGACGCUGAGGUGCGAAAGCGUGGGGAGCAAACAGGAUUAGAUACCCGCGUAGUC
This 466-nucleotide ribosomal RNA is filed under the name uncultured bacterium. RNAcentral describes it as "partial 16S ribosomal RNA". It matches the Rfam family "Bacterial small subunit ribosomal RNA", at positions 339 to 795 of the family's 1533-position model. The record is from RNAcentral.